This is a long non-coding RNA of Physeter macrocephalus (sperm whale), 1924 nucleotides long. RefSeq lists it as uncharacterized. The record is from RefSeq and is a predicted model, not a curated record. NCBI's taxonomy places the organism in Eukaryota, Metazoa, Chordata, Mammalia, Artiodactyla, Physeteridae. The transcript has 2 exons.
AGAAGAAGAAGAAGAAGAAGAAGAAGAAAAAAAAAAUCCUAACAUAUUUUCAGAUGGAUUUUAUGAGUGGUUCAACUCCCAGCCCUGCUGUCUGCACCCGGGCACGCUGUGUAACUCCUCAGUUUUCUCGCCAAGGCUGGGGACCGCACACUCCUGCGUGGAGAGUGUGCAGUGCCCCGUCUGGGCUCAGCAGGCACUCAGCACUGGGGAGACCCUACUGCUGCCGCCUCUUUAAAAGGACCGUCUCAGGUUACUACACGCAGAUUGUGGCAAGAGCUCUUCUUCUGGCCUCCAGUCCUCCCCGGCAGACGACGCCGUAGAAGAAUGGGCUUCAGUACAGCCCGAGGGCAGGCCUAAAGCAGACUCACCAUAACCUCCUACUCGAACCUGCUGCCUACCACUGCCUCCCAAUAUCCAUUUCAUGGGAAAACACAGGUGGUGCCAGCGUCCUGGCCAAGCAAGGAAAAAUAUGAUGCUGAAACCACAGCCCUCAUUGGUCUACCAGCUUAACGAGCGACCUGACCCAUGGGGGACCCACAGACUCUUUCAGGGGAUCCCCUAGGUCAAAAGUACUUUUUGACAUUUCAGUGAUGGUAAUGGCUAAAGGUAGAUCAGCCAUCAGGGAAAUGCAAACCAACAUGACCAUGAAAUACCACUUCACAUCCCCUAGGACGGCUUUGUUCACAAAGAUGGAUAAAGGCAAGUGUGGGUGAGAAUGCAGAGUGGAACCUUCAAACACUGCAGGUGGAAAUGUAAAAUGGUGCAGCCACUCUAGAAAACCACCUGGAAGUUCCUCAAAAUGUGAAACAGAGUCACCCUAUGACCCAGCAACUCCACUCUCAGGUAUGAGCACAAGAGAAAUGAAAAAUAUGUCCACAUAAAAACAUGUAUAUGAAUGUUCAGAGGAGAAAUAUUAACAAUAGUUAAUAACUGGGGAAAAAAUCCAAAGGUUCAUCCACUGGCAUUUAGCUAAACAAAAUGGGGUGUUUCUAUCCAUAAAAGGAAUCAGGAACAGAUACAUGCUCCAGCAUGGACGAAUCUUGCAGACAUUAUGGGACGUGAAAGAAGCUAAGGACAAAAGGUCACCUAUUAUAGGACUCCAUUCCUAUGAAAUGACUAGACCAAUACUUAAGAGACAGAAAGUAUGUUAGUGAUUGCCAAGGGGCUGGGGAGGGUUCAGGAAAAUGGGAGGGACUCCUAAUGGGUACAAAUUUUUCAGGGUGAAGGCGAUGAAGAUGUUCUAAAGUUGACUGUGAUGAUCAUUACACAACUCCGUGAACAGACUAGAAACUACUGAAUUGUACACUGGGGGUAAAUUUUAUGAUAUGUGAAUUACAUCUCCAUAAAACUAAAAACAAAACAAAAACAAAAGAAAACGGCAACAGGUAGCAAAAUUCAACACAAAUCAAUGCAGUGGCACCAAACUAAAUGAACAAACAUUGGUAUUCUUCAUUACCAGUUACUAGCAGUUAAAAAAAAAAAGACAGUUUCACUUUGGAAAGUGACAGAGCAAUAGAAAUUGUUAACAGUAUUAAAUCUCAACCCUGGAAUACACAUACUUUGUGUGACAAAAAUGGAACCACAGGACUUCCCUGGUGGCGCAGUGGUUAAGAAUCUGCCUGCCGAUGCAGGGGACACGGGUCCGAGCCCUGGUCUUGGAAGAUCCCACAUGCCGCAGAGCCCCUAAGCCAGUGUGCCACAACUACUGAGCCCACGCGCCACAACUACUGGAGUCCGCGUGCCUAGAGCCUGUGCUCCACAGCAAGAGAAGCCACCGCAAUGAGAAGCCCGCGCACCGCAACCAAGAGCAGCCCCUGCUUCCCGCAACUAGAGAGAGCCCGUGGGCAGCAACGAAGACCCAACGCAGCCAAAAAAAUAAAUAUAUAAAAUAAAUAAAUUUAUUUAAAAAAAAAAAAAAAAAAAA